UUUUUAUUUUUUUUUUAAAAUUAUUAAUCAAUUACUUCAAAUGAAAACAAUUAAAAGCUCAAAAUUUUCUAUUAUUGCUGAGCAUAUAUAACAUUCAAGAGAACAAAAUGAAAAAUACGAGAAUCAAACUAUUGGCCACAGUUCACCUGCUCCAAAUCUGUUGUAGUGAUGAUUGUGUCUAGACAUUAAAGCAGGAGUUCCAACUCUGUUGUCGUCCUCUGUGACACUAUCAUCGGACCGGUAUCAUCGGACCGGUAACACGGGCUAAAGCAUCAGUGUACCUCUCGAAUGGAGUCCUUUCCAAAUCAUUAGGCAUAAACCAAAUUCAUCCAUCAUCUCAUUCAUACCUAAAAAUGCAUAUAUCUCGGAUCUCACAUCAUCUAGAGACUAAUAAUGAGUACAAUUAACGUUGCAUUCAGUGAUUGAAAUUUCUUAUUCAUUUUGUUGUACGCUGAUCAAAACUUCUUAUCUUUUUUUCCGUUGAAAUUAAAAACUUUUAUAAAACGUUAAAAUUAAAAAUCUUUAUAAAGAAUUUGAUAGAAAAAAAUCGCAACGAACAACAAAUGCGCGAAAAAAUGGCGGCAAGCUUUUUGAAGAAUGAGAGUAAACAACGGCUAUACAUUUGGUUGAUUUUACAGCUAUAUAUAUAUGAUGAAAUGCCAGUAAUAUUGCCCUGUGGCACAUGAACAAUAAUAGCACUAACAAAGUAAGAAUCCAAAACUUAUCAAAUAAUUGAAA
This 738-nucleotide small RNA is filed under the name Arabidopsis thaliana (thale cress). RNAcentral's name for it is "ATSL099800". Lineage: Eukaryota; Viridiplantae; Streptophyta; Magnoliopsida; Brassicales; Brassicaceae. The record is from RNAcentral.